Molecule: transfer RNA, 84 nt
Filed under: Candidatus Iainarchaeum sp.
Lineage: Archaea; Nanobdellati; Candidatus Iainarchaeota; Candidatus Iainarchaeia; Candidatus Iainarchaeales; Candidatus Iainarchaeaceae
Description: tRNA-Ser
Rfam family: tRNA
About the family: Transfer RNA (tRNA) molecules are approximately 80 nucleotides in length. Their secondary structure includes four short double-helical elements and three loops (D, anti-codon, and T loops). Further hydrogen bonds mediate the characteristic L-shaped molecular structure. tRNAs have two regions of fundamental functional importance: the anti-codon, which is responsible for specific mRNA codon recognition, and the 3' end, to which the tRNAs corresponding amino acid is attached (by aminoacyl-tRNA synthetases). tRNAs cope with the degeneracy of the genetic code in two manners: having more than one tRNA (with a specific anti-codon) for a particular amino acid; and 'wobble' base-pairing, i.e. permitting non-standard base-pairing at the 3rd anti-codon position.
Source: RNAcentral
GCGGAGGUGGCAGAGCGGUCCAAUGCGCCUGGCUUGAGACCAGGUCUCCGAAAGGGGGCGCGAGUUCGAAUCUCGUCCUCCGCG